RNAcentral lists this ribosomal RNA (255 nucleotides) under uncultured bacterium. RNAcentral's name for it is "partial 16S ribosomal RNA". It matches the Rfam family "Bacterial small subunit ribosomal RNA", at positions 524 to 776 of the family's 1533-position model. The record is from RNAcentral.
UACGGAGGGGGGCUAGCGUUGUUCGGAAUUACUGGGCGUAAAGCGCACGUAGGCGGCUUUUGUAAGUUAGAGGUGAAAGCCCAGGGCUUAACCCUGGAAUUGCCUUUAAGACUGCAUCGCUAGAAUCGUGGAGAGGUGAGUGGAAUUCCGAGUGUAGAGGUGAAAUUCGUAGAUAUUCGGAAGAACACCAGUGGCGAAGGCGACUCACUGGACACGUAUUGACGCUGAGGUGCGAAAGCGUGGGGAGCAAACAGG